RNAcentral lists this non-coding RNA (32 nucleotides) under Mus musculus (house mouse). Lineage: Eukaryota; Metazoa; Chordata; Mammalia; Rodentia; Muridae. The record is from RNAcentral.
UGCCAGAUUUGCAGCUGGAGAAAGGCUGAAGA